This 192-nucleotide ribosomal RNA is filed under the name uncultured bacterium. Its description in RNAcentral is "partial 16S ribosomal RNA". It matches the Rfam family "Bacterial small subunit ribosomal RNA", at positions 8 to 334 of the family's 1533-position model. The record is from RNAcentral.
CAGAGUUUGAUCCUGGCUCAGAUUGAACGCUGGCGGCAUGCCUAACACAUGCAAGUCGAACGGUAACAGAACUAGCUUGCUAGUUGCUGACGAGUGGCGGACGGGUGAGUAAUGUAUAGGAACUUGCCUAGUAGUGGGGGAUAACGGGUCUGAGAGGAUGAUCCGCCACACUGGUACUGAGACACGGACCAG